AUGGACGCGAGGCAGCAGGCCGGCGGUGCGGCCCUGUGCGCCAACGGCUGCGGCUUCUUCGGCGGCGCCGCGACCAGCGAUCUCUGCUCCAGAUGCUACAAGGAGCAGCAGCUGCUCGACGUCGUGGCCUUUGAUGACGCCGUCAUGUCCGGCCUCCGAUCGCUGGCCAUCACGCUGACGAAAGCCGGAGGCGAGGAGGAGGGGACGCCGUCGUCGACGACGAAGAAGAAGCGAUGCAGUGCGUGCCAGAGGAAGGUGGGGCUGCUGGGGUUCGUGUGCCGGUGCGGGGCCACCUACUGCGGCGCGCACCGCCACGCCGACGCGCACGGCUGCUUCUUCGACUACAGGGCAGCCGGCCGCGAGCAGAUCGCGCGCCAGAACCCGCUCGUCGUCGCGCCCAAGAUGGCAAGGGUUUGA
Molecule: ribosomal RNA, 417 nt
Filed under: Triticum aestivum (bread wheat)
Lineage: Eukaryota; Viridiplantae; Streptophyta; Magnoliopsida; Poales; Poaceae
Description: partial small subunit ribosomal RNA
Source: RNAcentral